RNAcentral lists this ribosomal RNA (201 nucleotides) under Clostridioides difficile. RNAcentral's name for it is "partial 23S ribosomal RNA". It matches the Rfam family "Bacterial large subunit ribosomal RNA", at positions 1835 to 2035 of the family's 2925-position model. Lineage: Bacteria; Bacillati; Bacillota; Clostridia; Peptostreptococcales; Peptostreptococcaceae. The record is from RNAcentral.
AAGACGAUGUAUAGGAGCUGACGCCUGCCCGGUGCUGGAAGGUUAAGGGGAUCUGUUAGAGCAAUCGAAGCAGGGAACUUAAGCCCCAGUAAACGGCGGCCGUAACUAUAACGGUCCUAAGGUAGCGAAAUUCCUUGUCGGGUAAGUUCCGACCCGCACGAAAGGCGUAACGAUUUGGGCACUGUCUCAACAACAGACUCG